GAUGAACGCUGGCGGCGUGCCUAAUACAUGCCAGUCGAGCGAACGGACGAGAAGCUUGCUUCUCUGAUGUUAGCGGCGGACGGGUGAGUAACACGUGGAUAACCUACCUAUAAGACUGGGAUAACUUCGGGAAACCGGAGCUAAUACCGGAUGAUAUUUUGAACCGCAUGGUUCAAAAGUGAAAGACGGUCUUGCUGUCACUUAUAGAUGGAUCCGCGCUGCAUUAGCUAGUUGGUAAGGUAACGGCUUACCAAGGCAACGAUGCAUAGCCGACCUGAGAGGGUGAUCGGCCACACUGGAACUGAGACACGGUCCAGACUCCUAAGGGAGGCAGCAGUAGGGAAUCUUCCGCAAUGGGCGAAAGCCUGACGGAGCAACGCCGCGUGAGUGAUGAAGGUCUUCGGAUCGUAAAACUCUGUUAUUAGGGAAGAACAUAUGUGUAAGUAACUGUGCACAUCUUGACGGUACCUAAUCAGAAAGCCACGGCUAACUACGUG
RNAcentral lists this ribosomal RNA (497 nucleotides) under uncultured bacterium. Its description in RNAcentral is "partial 16S ribosomal RNA". It matches the Rfam family "Bacterial small subunit ribosomal RNA", at positions 28 to 507 of the family's 1533-position model. The record is from RNAcentral.